GACAGACCUCCCAGGAACAAGAAGGUACUUCAGGAAAUGGUAUUUCUGAUUCAGUAGGUGGCCUCUCCUCUCUGGGUCCCUGUGAAUAGAUGCCCGGCGUGGUGUUAGGGCCACCACGCUGCCCUGUGCUGUUUACCUUUCCGAAGAAACCCAAAACCACAGACCUAACCAUUUGUGGUCACCAGAGAUCUUAUGGCAGACUUUCUAAGGGCAGUUGUGUUAACUCCAGAAUCCUGGCCCGAGUCCAACUAAAGUAAUUACAUUCUGCUCCCAUCAAGCUCCCCCUGCAGUUUCCAUUGAAUCUGAUAGUCUGGACCCUCCAUCUAGCAGCCUGGCCGGCAUGGUGGUGGUUUGCAUUCCACAGAGGAGAGGCAGCCUGUAAGUCAGCGCUGGAAGAAAUGAACGCUCCAUUCUCACCAGGCUGUGUAUGCUGGGCAACACGAAGAGGGCAUCCUAGAGACGGAUAAGAAGUAAAUGGCUUUAUCAACAAGGCAAUACCCUACCAGAACAUGAAGACUGGUCUCCUCAGUUCCUCGGCUGUACAGCUGUAUUGUCCUGAUGGUGGACGCUAAACCUGUGCUCGGACUAAAGAAAGUAACCCACUAAAGCAAAAGAUGUGUGAGAGAUUUUAAUGCUGCUGGAUGUAAUUUGGGGAUUCUGUAGAUACAUGUACUUGCCACCAAGCCUGAGGGAUUCAGCUCCAUAACCAGAAGGCACAUGGUAAGAGGAGAGCAGUGACUUCCACAAGUUGUCCUCUGACCUACACAUGCAUGCAAUGACAAGAACAAGAGCCCC
Molecule: long non-coding RNA, 795 nt
Filed under: Cricetulus griseus (Chinese hamster)
Lineage: Eukaryota; Metazoa; Chordata; Mammalia; Rodentia; Cricetidae
Description: lncRNA (ENSCGRG00015036617.1)
Source: RNAcentral